This is a long non-coding RNA of Chenopodium quinoa (quinoa), 1836 nucleotides long. RefSeq lists it as uncharacterized. The transcript is spliced from 3 exons. Lineage: Eukaryota; Viridiplantae; Streptophyta; Magnoliopsida; Caryophyllales; Amaranthaceae. The record is from RefSeq and is a predicted model, not a curated record.
AUUUGAUUGGUAUUGUUUAACCUUGUAGUUUGUAUUUUGUGAUCAAUAUGGAGCCUACCUUUAAAUCUUGCAAGCAUCAGGCAGGUGUAUUAUUUAUUUUUGUCCAUUAUUAAUGUACGAAUUUGCUACAAAAUUUGUCACGCUAAUUGAUAAUUAAUUACUUCAGUGUUCUGAAGCGAAAGGAUGUGAAUUUAUUGAUACCAAUGAUCGAUUGAGUCAGUUGCCACAUGAUGUUUUGAUGUCAAUCAUGUCCCUUUUAACAAUGAAGGAAGCCGGAAAAACUAGUGUUGUAUCACGAACAUGGUAUAACUUGUGGCAUUGUUUACCUGUCUUGUUCUUCAAAGUCAAUCCCUAUUCUAAAAUCAAAGAUAAACUGUUACUUCCCGAACAAAGAUCAGGUUCGAUAAAUUUGAUAAUUUUUAUUCAACUAUCAAAUUGGUCUAAUUCUAAGAUUUUUCUUGGCACUGCUAUCUCCGAUAUGCCAAAGGUACAAGAUUGAGUUCUCUAAUUAUGUCAGAUAUAUGUUUUUUUGUCAUACCAAAUUGUCAAAUUGAGUUCUCUGAGGGUUUGUCGGAUUCCUGAGAAAAAGGUAAUCAUCAUAUUUUACUUGACUGCUUGCUUCUUUUCCACUUGGGUAUUGUAUUUAAAAAGUGUUCCAGGAGCAAACUUUCGAGAUGUACCAAGAGUGUGUGUUUGUCUUGCUAACAAGGUUAACUGUUUUUGCCCUUUAGAUAGCAAGGCAUUGCAGGAAUUUGACAAAGUGUGGUAUGAGGUCACUAAUGAAUAUGGAGGAGUUGUGACAACUGAGUCUGUUCCAGUGAUGUUUGGAAGAUCUCUGGAUGUUCCUCAAAGCUGCAAUGGGGUUGCACGGUUUUUCUUUGAGUAUCUUUGUGGAAGACCAAAACAUUAAAUUUGUGCAUUGUCAAUUACCUUUGCUUUUGGAGUAGUUUAUAUAUAAUACCAACAUUUGUUGUUUUAAUUGUUGUUAGGUUGGGGCUGCAGACUAUAUUGCAUUUGCUGAAAAUUACCGCACAAUCUUUAUUUCUGACAUACCGGCAAUGAGCAUGCGUAUCAAGGACAAGGUAUGAAUCGCUGCAUCUUUUCAUGUGCUUUGUGGUGGGGAAAAAUUGAUUAAUUUCAUGAUACUAUCCAAUAAUAAUUUAAUGACUAAAAACCUGAUCAGUUUAGAUCAAUUUGAAUAUCUGAAAUUUUAACAAGGAUCUUCCCCAAUUAAAUCAGUUUUGCUCUAUCUUAGAUGUGCUGGCUUCACUUAAAUUUAAUUGUUAGCUCUAUCAAGUAAUUGUUGUGGAUUUCCAAAAAAAAAAAACACCGAGUUUCUUACUUCUACCUCCUAUAUUAAAUUUUUAACGAUUUGUAUUGUAAAUUUCUUGUGUUAUUUGUGAUCAAUUGCCCAUUGGUUAUUUUCUUAUGAACCUUCUCAUUAUAGGCAACGUGGAGAAAAUGAACUAGUCUAGGCAACGUAGAGAAAAUGAACUAGUCGCUAUUGUGAUGGCUUUGAAAUUGGGUAGAGAUGAAUUUCAGAACUGAAUUCAGAGCUGAAUUUCAGAACUGAAUUCAGAGCUGAAUUUCAUAACUGAAUUCAGAGCUAAGAUUCGGAACUGAAUUCCUUAAUUCAUCAGCUACUUUCUCAGUUACUCUCAGUUUCUCAUCCUUGUGUUGUAGGACAUCCUUGCUAACAAGGUAACACUUUUAUAUGAUUCCAGCUAUCAGUACAAAGAUUACCUUUCCUUAUUUAGCUUUGAAUGAAUGAUUGAUUGUUUUUUUUUCUUUCUUUCUUUCUUCUUCUUCUUCUUCUUCUUCUUCUUCUUCUUCUUC